Molecule: long non-coding RNA, 560 nt
Filed under: Zonotrichia albicollis (white-throated sparrow)
Lineage: Eukaryota; Metazoa; Chordata; Aves; Passeriformes; Passerellidae
Description: lncRNA (ENSZALG00000016286.1)
Source: RNAcentral
CCGCGCUGCAGCGUGUGGCUACUAGCAGCGGGCUGCUGCUCGGCGCUGCGCAUCAGGGCAGAGCCCAGCCCUCCCCUGCCAUGCCUGGGAGCACCACUGUGCUAAAGGUGCUCCCAACAUUUCCUGCGAUAUUAGCAGCCUCUCCUGCGAGCCACAGUGAGUGCAGCAAUGCAGGGACGUGCACUAAAUACACGCUGCCGCUGUCGGCUUUAAGGAUAACCGCACUGGUAGAGGGAGCAGUGAUAAAUACAAGACGUGCCCCGAGUGCCUUGACACUGCUGAACGGCCAAACUGCAGGACCUCACCAAUUACAUGGCUGCUUUUCCAUGGCAGACCUGUGUGUUAAUUCACAGUUCUGCAGUGCUCUGCUGGAGAAGACAUCCCUUUAGGGCUAAGCUCUCACUGACUUGCGUUGCAGGAGAGAGGAAAAGUUGGAGCUCCUUCUCAGCUCUUGGGUAAGCACAAACCUGGAUUAAAAACUUGCAUUCUGACAUGGUUCCUCAGCAGAAUCACAGAAUCUCCAAGUCAAAGGAAAAUAAAAUUGGACAGGAAACAUGACA